Molecule: ribosomal RNA, 460 nt
Filed under: uncultured bacterium
Lineage: Bacteria
Description: partial 16S ribosomal RNA
Rfam family: Bacterial small subunit ribosomal RNA
Source: RNAcentral
CCUACGGGAGGCAGCAGUGAGGAAUAUUGGUCAAUGGACGAGAGUCUGAACCAGCCAAGUAGCGUGAAGGAUGACUGCCCUAUGGGUUGUAAACUUCUUUUAUAUGGGAAUAAAACAGGGUAUGCAUACCCUCUUGUAUGUACCAUAUGAAUAAGGAUCGGCUAACUCCGUGCCAGCAGCCGCGGUAAUACGGAGGAUCCGGGCGUUAUCCGGAUUUAUUGGGUUUAAAGGGAGCGUAGGUGGAUUGUCAAGUCAGUUGUGAAAGUUUGCGGCUCAACCGUAAAAUUGCAGUUGAAACUGGCAGUCUUGAGUACAGUAGAGGUAGGCGGAAUUCGUGGUGUAGCGGUGAAAUGCUUAGAUAUCACGAAGAACUCCGAUUGCGAAGGCAGCUCACUGGACUGCAACUGACACUGAUGCUCGAAAGUGUGGGUAUCGAACAGGAUUAGAUACCCGUGUAGUC